GUCCUGGACACGGCGGAGUGCGGAGCCGCCCGUAAGAUGCUCUGACCUUUGACCCCUGCCGUUCAGCUCUAGGGCCCGUGCAGGCCACACCAUGAACACCUCCCCAGGCACGGUGGGCAGUGACCCGGUCAUCCUGGCCACUGCAGGCUACGACCACACCGUGCGCUUCUGGCAGGCCCACAGCGGCAUCUGCACCCGGACGGUGCAGCACCAGGACUCCCAGGUGAAUGCCUUGGAGAUCACACCGGACCGCAGCAUGAUUGCUGCUGCAGGUAUCUGUGACCCUUGAUCUCUAAACUCCUGAGCUCUGGUGGGUCGACCUGAGCACAGCCAAGCUUCAGUUCAGCCUGUGUCCCUAGGUUACCAGCACAUCCGCAUGUAUGAUCUCAACUCCAAUAACCCUAACCCCAUCAUCAGCUACGACGGCGUCAACAAGAACAUCGCGUCUGUGGGCUUCCACGAAGACGGCCGCUGGAUGUACACGGGCGGCGAGGACUGCACAGCCAGGAUCUGGGACCUCAGGUGUGGUGGGGAGGGGGCCUGCUGCCCGGGGCUGGGGUGGGCUGCUCUGGGAGACCGUUUUA
Molecule: small RNA, 584 nt
Filed under: Pan troglodytes (chimpanzee)
Lineage: Eukaryota; Metazoa; Chordata; Mammalia; Primates; Hominidae
Description: retained intron
Source: RNAcentral